Molecule: ribosomal RNA, 466 nt
Filed under: uncultured bacterium
Lineage: Bacteria
Description: partial 16S ribosomal RNA
Rfam family: Bacterial small subunit ribosomal RNA
Source: RNAcentral
GACGAACGCUGGCGGCGUGCUUAACACAUGCAAGUCGAACGGAAAGGCCCUGCUUUUGUGGGGUGCUCGAGUGGCGAACGGGUGAGUAACACGUGAGUAACCUGCCCUUGACUUUGGGAUAACUUCAGGAAACUGGGGCUAAUACCGGAUAGGAGCUCCUGCUGCAUGGUGGGGGUUGGAAAGUUUCGGCGGUUGGGGAUGGACUCGCGGCUUAUCAGCUUGUUGGUGGGGUAGUGGCUUACCAAGGCUUUGACGGGUAGCCGGCCUGAGAGGGUGACCGGCCACAUUGGGACUGGGAUACGGCACAGACUCCUGGGGGGGGCAGGAGUGGGGAAUAUUGCAAAAGGGGGGGAAGCCUGAUGCAGCAACGCCGGGUGCGGGAUGACGGCCUUGGGGUUGAAAACCGCUUUCGCCUGUGACGAAGGGUGAGGGACGGUAAUGGGUAAAGAAGCACCGGCUAACUACG